GUGUCGUCUAGUGGUUAGGACGCGAGUUUUACACGCUCAAGACCGAGGGUUCAAUCGCCUCCAC
This 64-nucleotide transfer RNA is filed under the name Plasmopara halstedii. It matches the Rfam family "tRNA", at positions 5 to 66 of the family's 71-position model. From Rfam's summary of the family: Transfer RNA (tRNA) molecules are approximately 80 nucleotides in length. The record is from Rfam by way of RNAcentral. Lineage: Eukaryota; Oomycota; Peronosporomycetes; Peronosporales; Peronosporaceae.